RNAcentral lists this unclassified non-coding RNA (247 nucleotides) under uncultured Pleosporales. Its description in RNAcentral is "sequence contains ITS2". The record is from RNAcentral. Lineage: Eukaryota; Fungi; Ascomycota; Dothideomycetes; Pleosporales.
AACGCACAUUGCGCCCCUUGGUACUCCAUGGGGCAUGCCUGUUCGAGCGUCAUUUACACCCUCAAGCUCAGCUUGGUGUUGGGCGUCUGUCCCGCUUCGUGCGCGGACUCGCCUUAAAUGCAUUGGCAGCGGUCUUGCCAGCUUCUCGCGCAGCACAUUGCGCUUCUAGAGGCUUUGGCGGAUCGGCGUCCAUCAAGUACACCCACAGUUUGACCUCGGAUCAGGUAGGGAUACCCGCUGAACUUAA